RNAcentral lists this ribosomal RNA (253 nucleotides) under Prevotella bivia. RNAcentral's name for it is "partial 16S ribosomal RNA". It matches the Rfam family "Bacterial small subunit ribosomal RNA", at positions 524 to 776 of the family's 1533-position model. Lineage: Bacteria; Pseudomonadati; Bacteroidota; Bacteroidia; Bacteroidales; Prevotellaceae. The record is from RNAcentral.
UACGGAAGGUUCGGGCGUUAUCCGGAUUUAUUGGGUUUAAAGGGAGCAUAGGCCGUUUGGUAAGCGUGUUGUGAAAUGUAGGAGCUCAACUUCUAGAUUGCAGCGCGAACUGUCAGACUUGAGUGCGCACAACGUAGGCGGAAUUCAUGGUGUAGCGGUGAAAUGCUUAGAUAUCAUGAAGAACUCCGAUUGCGAAGGCAGCUUACGGGAGCGCAACUGACGCUGAAGCUCGAAGGUGCGGGUAUCGAACAGG